UACAGAGGAUGCAAGCGUUAUCCGGAAUGAUUGGGCGUAAAGCGUCCGCAGGUGGUUUUGUAAGUCUGCUGUUAAAGCGUUAGGCUCAACCUAAUAAGGGCAGUGGAAACUAUGAGACUAGAGUAUGUUAGGGGUAGAGGGAAUUCCCAGUGUAGCGGUGAAAUGCGUAGAGAUUGGGAAGAACAUCGGUGGCGAAAGCGCUCUACUGGACGGUGACUGACACUCAGGGACGAAAGCUAGGGGAGCGAAUGGG
This 253-nucleotide ribosomal RNA is filed under the name uncultured bacterium. Its description in RNAcentral is "partial 16S ribosomal RNA". It matches the Rfam family "Bacterial small subunit ribosomal RNA", at positions 524 to 776 of the family's 1533-position model. The record is from RNAcentral.